Molecule: long non-coding RNA, 1190 nt
Organism: Nycticebus coucang (slow loris)
Lineage: Eukaryota; Metazoa; Chordata; Mammalia; Primates; Lorisidae
Exons: 3
Source: RefSeq, a predicted model, not a curated record
UAACUAUGUCCAGGAAGGUCCAGGGUGAACCACAGGCCCUCAGCAGGCCCCUUCUGGCUUGGGGCCUUCCAGGCAGAGGAAGGCUGCCUAGGACAAGGCCCUGAAGACGUAAAAGGCAGAGGGACAUUUGUCACAGAGCAGGAGAUGACUCAGAAAUGGAAGGAGAAGGCCACAUGAAGACAUAAGCAGAAAUUGGAGUUAUGUGGCCACAAGAAAUGCCCACAGCCACCAGAAGCCGGGAGAGACAGAGUCUCUCUACAUCACCCUGGGUAGAGUGCUAUGGCAUCACAGCUCACAGCAACCUCAGACUCUUGGGCUUAAGUGAUUCUCUUGCCCCAGCCUCCCAAGUAGCUGGGACUACAGACGCCCGCCACAACACCCAGCUAUUUUUUAUUAUUGUUGUUGCAGUUGUCAUUGUUGUUUACAGGCCCAGGCCAGGUUCUAACUCGCCAUUCUCAGUGCAUGUGGCUGGUGCCGUAACCACUGUGCUAUAGGCGCUGAGCCUUGAAUCCUGUUUUUAAGUAAGUAUUGUUCUUUCUUCUUCUUUAUAUCACUAUUCUAUCUCUUUUAAUCCCUCCUGAGAUAAAUAGAUACCUCUGGUAAUGGGAGGAAAAUCUCAUAAAAGGAAUAUGAGAGAAAACACACAUUGAGAUAUUUCAAGGAAAUUACCUACAUUACACUAAUAUUCAUACAAACAUCUAGAGGAAGAACUUCUGAACUGUUAAUGGUGGUCACCCCUGGGGAAGAGAAUUUGGGGGGAAAAGAUUUCCCCUUCCAGGUUGUGCAUUCAUUCCUGCAGUGUCUGAAUUUUUAGAAUAAGCAUAAAUUACAUUUGUAACUUAAAAUCCUAAAGAUUAAAGGUAAUCCAAGAUAUCAAGAAUUCCCCUGGCAUAUGUUUGGCAGGAAGUUUAUCUGCCAGACAAAGAAAUGACUCCCAAAACAAUACAUUUCUUUAGAAUUUAGACAUAGAUUUUCAACAACUUAACAAUGGUCUGAUCCUAGCUGGUCCAAAAGAGUGGACGUUCCCUGCCACAAGAAAACCUCAGCUAAAGCUCCACCAGAUGGGAGUUUGCAGGACUCCUUGGAGUCAGGAGGGGUCUGCAGCUCUGAGGUCUGAGCCUAGCUCUUCCCUCCAUUCCUCCCAUCCCAGGGUCUCAGGCAGAAGGGACCACACCUAUGUGAAGUCUGAA